AACGAACGCUGGCGGCAUGCCUAACACAUGCGAGUCGAACGAGACCUUCGGGUCUAGUGGCGCACGGGUGCGUAACGCGUGGGAACCUGCCCUUAGGUUCGGAAUAACUCCCCGAAAGGGGUGCUAAUACCGGAUAAUGUCUUCGGACCAAAGAUUUAUCGCCUUUGGAUGGGCCCGCGUUGGAUUAGCUAGUUGGUAGGGUAAAAGCCUACCAAGGCGACGAUCCAUAGCUGGUCUGAGAGGAUGAUCAGCCACACUGGACUGAGACACGGCCCAGACUCCUACGGGAGGCAGCAGUGGGGAAUAUUGGACAAUGGGCGAAAGCCUGAUCCAGCAAUGCCGCGUGAGUGAUGAAGGCCUUAGGGUGGUAAAGCUCUUUUACCCGGGAUGAUAAGGACAGUACCGGGAGAAUAAGCUCCGGCUAACUCCGG
RNAcentral lists this ribosomal RNA (431 nucleotides) under uncultured bacterium. RNAcentral describes it as "partial 16S ribosomal RNA". It matches the Rfam family "Bacterial small subunit ribosomal RNA", at positions 29 to 506 of the family's 1533-position model. The record is from RNAcentral.